RNAcentral lists this ribosomal RNA (252 nucleotides) under uncultured bacterium. RNAcentral describes it as "partial 16S ribosomal RNA". It matches the Rfam family "Bacterial small subunit ribosomal RNA", at positions 524 to 776 of the family's 1533-position model. The record is from RNAcentral.
UACGGAGGGGCUAGCGUUGUUCGGAAUUACUGGGCGUAAAGCGCACGUAGGCGGCUUUGUAAGUUAGAGGUGAAAGCCCGGAGCUCAACUCCGGAAUUGCCUUUAAGACUGCAUCGCUAGAAUUGUGGAGAGGUAAGUGGAAUUCCGAGUGUAGAGGUGAAAUUCGUAGAUAUUCGGAAGAACACCAGUGGCGAAGGCGACUUACUGGACACAUAUUGACGCUGAGGUGCGAAAGCGUGGGGAGCAAACAGG